Molecule: ribosomal RNA, 873 nt
Filed under: uncultured bacterium
Lineage: Bacteria
Description: bacterial SSU rRNA
Rfam family: Bacterial small subunit ribosomal RNA
Source: RNAcentral
AGAUUUACUUCGGUAAUGACGUUGGGAAAGCGAGCGGCGGAUGGGUGAGUAACACGUGGGGAACCUGCCCCUAAGUCUGGGAUACCAUUUGGAAACAGGUGCUAAUACCGGAUAAUAAAGCGGAUCGCAUGAUCAGCUUUUGAAAGGCGGCGUAAGCUGUCGCUAAGGGAUGGCCCCGCGGUGCAUUAGCUAGUUGGUAAGGUAACGGCUUACCAAGGCGACGAUGCAUAGCCGAGUUGAGAGACUGAUCGGCCACAUUGGGACUGAGACACGGCCCAAACUCCUAUGGGAGGCAGCAGUAGGGAAUCUUCCACAAUGGACGCAAGUCUGAUGGAGCAACGCCGCGUGAGUGAAGAAGGUUUUCGGAUCGUAAAGCUCUGUUGUUGGUGAAGAAGGAUAGAGGUAGUAACUGGCCUUUAUUUGACGGUAAUCAAUCAGAAAGUCACGGCUAACUACGUGCCAGCAGCCGCGGUAAUACGUAGGUGGCAAGCGUUGUCCGGAUUUAUUGGGCGUAAAGCGAGCGCAGGCGGAAAAAUAAGUCUAAUGUGAAAGCCCUCGGCUUAACCGAGGAACUGCAUCGGAAACUGUUUUUCUUGAGUGCAGAAGAGGAGAGUGGAACUCCAUGUGUAGCGGUGGAAUGCGUAGAUAUAUGGAAGAACACCAGUGGCGAAGGCGGCUCUCUGGCCUGCAACUGACGCUGAGGCUCGAAAGCAUGGGUAGCGAACAGGAUUAGAUACCCUGGUAGUCCAUGCCGUANACGAUGAGUGCUAAGUGUUGGGAGGUUUCCGCCUCUCAGUGCUGCAGCUAACGCAUUAAGCACUCCGCCUGGGGAGUACGACCGCAAGGUUGAAACUCAAAGGAAUUGACGGGGGC